Molecule: long non-coding RNA, 318 nt
Organism: Pezoporus occidentalis (night parrot)
Lineage: Eukaryota; Metazoa; Chordata; Aves; Psittaciformes; Psittacidae
Exons: 3
Source: RefSeq, a predicted model, not a curated record
GAUUUGGGAGCCCCUACUCAGGGAAAGCAGCCUCAGCUGCAAAGGGAGGGCCCUAUGGACCAUCCACCUUCUUUGGCAGACAAAUACAAGUAAGAGGAAGAGAGGAAAGUUGCAGACGUUCUCUAGGGGACACAAUUUUCAUAUGAUCAACACAACGCGUCUUACCCACAGGAGCAGAGGCUGCCUGAGGACCCUGACUCACUAAUGCAGUGUUCAUCCCUGAACUUCUGAAUGGCUGCUAAUCUGGCACUAAAUCACCACCAUGGUGGAAAGAGGCCCUGGUCCAUGUGGAAGAAGCAUCUUUGUGCUGGUAGCUGU